This 254-nucleotide ribosomal RNA is filed under the name uncultured bacterium. Its description in RNAcentral is "partial 16S ribosomal RNA". It matches the Rfam family "Bacterial small subunit ribosomal RNA", at positions 524 to 776 of the family's 1533-position model. The record is from RNAcentral.
UACGGGGGGAGCAAGCGUUGUUCGGAUUUACUGGGCGUAAAGGGCGCGUAGGCGGUCAGCACAAGUCAGUUGUGAAAUCUCCGGGCUUAACUCGGAAAGGUCAACUGAUACUGUGCGACUAGAGUGCAGAAGGGGCAACUGGAAUUCUCGGUGUAGCGGUGAAAUGCGUAGAUAUCUGGAGGAACACCGGUGGCGAAGGCGGCAUCCUGGACCAACACUGACGCUGAGGAGCGAAAGCCAGGGGAGCAAACGGG